Molecule: ribosomal RNA, 553 nt
Filed under: uncultured bacterium
Lineage: Bacteria
Description: partial 16S ribosomal RNA
Rfam family: Bacterial small subunit ribosomal RNA
Source: RNAcentral
UGGGGAAUUUUGGACAAUGGGCGCAAGCCUGAUCCAGCCAUGCCGCGUGCGGGAAGAAGGCCUUCGGGUUGUAAACCGCUUUUGUCAGGGAAGAAAUCUUCUGAGUUAAUACCUCGGGAGGAUGACGGUACCUGAAGAAUAAGCACCGGCUAACUACGUGCCAGCAGCCGCGGUAAUACGUAGGGUGCAAGCGUUAAUCGGAAUUACUGGGCGUAAAGCGUGCGCAGGCGGUUUUGUAAGACAGAGGUGAAAUCCCCGGGCUCAACCUGGGAACUGCCUUUGUGACUGCAAGGCUUGAGUGCGGCAGAGGGGGAUGGAAUUCCGCGUGUAGCAGUGAAAUGCGUAGAUAUGCGGAGGAACACCGAUGGCGAAGGCAAUCCCCUGGGCCUGCACUGACGCUCAUGCACGAAAAGCGUGGGGGAGCAAAACAGGAUUAGAUACCCCUGGUAGUCCACGCCCUAAAACGAUGUCAACUGGUUGUUGGGAAGGUUCCUUCUCAGUAACGUAGCUAACGCGUGAAGUUGACCGCCUGGGGAGUACGGCCGCAAGGUUG